UGGGGAAUAUUGGACAAUGGGCGCAAGCCUGAUCCAGCCAUGCCGCGUGAGUGAUGAAGGCCCUAGGGUUGUAAAGCUCUUUCACCGGUGAAGAUAAUGACGGUAACCGGAGAAGAAGCCCCGGCUAACUUCGUGCCAGCAGGCGCGGUAAUACGAAGGGGGCUAGCGUUGUUCAGAUUUACUGGGCGUAAAGCGCACGUAGGCGGACUAUUCAGUCAGGGGUGAAAUCCCGGGGCUCAACCCCGGAACUGCCUUUGAUACUGGUAGUCUUGAGUUCGAGAGAGGUGAGUGGAAUUCCGAGUGUAGAGGUGAAAUUCGUAGAUCUUCGGAGGAACACCAGUGGCGAAGGCGGCUCACUGGCUCGAUACUGACGCUGAGGUGCGAAAGCGUGGGGAGCAAACAGG
Molecule: ribosomal RNA, 404 nt
Filed under: Actinomycetes bacterium
Lineage: Bacteria; Bacillati; Actinomycetota; Actinomycetes
Description: Actinobacteria bacterium partial 16S ribosomal RNA
Rfam family: Bacterial small subunit ribosomal RNA
Source: RNAcentral